GGAAUUGUUCGCAAUGGGCGAAAGCCUGACGACGCAACGCCGCGUGGAGGAUGAAGCCUUUCGGGUCGUAAACUCCUUUCGACCGAGAUGACCACCCGCCGACCUAAUCCGUCGGCAGGCUGACAGUAUCGAGGGAAGAAGCCCCGGCUAACUCCGUGCCAGCAGCCGCGGUAAUACGGGGGGGGCAAGCGUUGUUCGGAAUUACUGGGCGUAAAGGGUUCGUAGGUGGCCAACUAAGUCAGACGUGAAAUCCCUCGGCUCAACCGGGGAACUGCGUCUGAUACUGGUUGGCUUGAGUGCAGGAGAGGAACGCGGAAUUCCAGGUGUAGCGGUGAAAUGCGUAGAUAUCUGGAGGAACACCGGUGGCGAAGGCGGCGUUCUGGACUGCAACUGACACUGAGGAACGAAAGCCAGGGGAGCAAAC
RNAcentral lists this ribosomal RNA (424 nucleotides) under uncultured bacterium. RNAcentral's name for it is "bacterial SSU rRNA". It matches the Rfam family "Bacterial small subunit ribosomal RNA", at positions 358 to 773 of the family's 1533-position model. The record is from RNAcentral.